GUGGAUUAGAUACCCGAGUAGUCCACGCCGUAAACGAUGGGCACUAGGUGUGGGAGGUGUCGACUCCUUCCGUGCCGAAGCUAACGCAUUAAGUGCCCCGCCUGGGGAGUACGGCCGCAAGGCUAAAACUCAAAGGAAUUGACGGGGGCCCGCACAAGCAGCGGAGCAUGUGGUUUAAUUGGAUGCAACGCCAAGAACCUUACCAAGGCUUGACAUGGUCGGGAAAACCGGAGAAAUUCGGUCCUCCUUCGGGACUCGAUCACAGGUGGUGCACGGCCGUCGCCAACU
This 288-nucleotide ribosomal RNA is filed under the name uncultured bacterium. Its description in RNAcentral is "partial 16S ribosomal RNA". It matches the Rfam family "Bacterial small subunit ribosomal RNA", at positions 773 to 1060 of the family's 1533-position model. The record is from RNAcentral.